UCGCAGUCCGAGUUGUAGUCUAUAGAAGCAUGAUCCGCGCCGGACCUUGGCCAUGUCUGUUGGAAAGCAGUGUCAAAGAGGGUGAUAAUCCCGUACAUACCAAGGACGACCGUGUGCAUUGUGGUCUGCUCUCUAAGAGUCGAGUUGUUUGGGAAUGCAGCUCUAAUCGGGUGGUAAAUUCCAUCUAAAGCUAAAUACCGACGAGAGACCGAUAGCGAACAAGUACAGUAAUGGAAAGAUGAAAAGUAGCCUGCAGAGGCAAUGAAACAAUACGUGAAACCGUUUGUAGGGAAACGAUGGAACCUUUUCACGCUGCAGGGGCUCAGCCUGGCUUCGGCUUGGUGUAUUCCCCUGUUUUGCGGGCCAGCAUCAGUUUGCUUUGCGGUAUAAGGGUGAUUGGAAUGUGGCUCCCACGGGAGUGUUAUAGCCUUUCACUGGAUGCCGCGUCGCAGACUGAGGACUGCAGUGCGCCAUUAGGCAUUACCCCCGGGUAACGAGCACUAGGAUGCUGAAA
This 514-nucleotide ribosomal RNA is filed under the name Pseudobensingtonia musae. RNAcentral's name for it is "LSU rRNA". It matches the Rfam family "Eukaryotic large subunit ribosomal RNA", at positions 131 to 631 of the family's 3401-position model. The record is from RNAcentral. Lineage: Eukaryota; Fungi; Basidiomycota; Agaricostilbomycetes; Agaricostilbales; Agaricostilbaceae.